UUGCCCGAUGAUUAUAAAAAGACGCGUUAUUAAGAGGACUUAAUGCUGGAGUUCUUUACAUUUUUCUCUCUUUUCUGUACUUAAUUUUUCUUUCUUUGUCCAGCAUCCUGUGAGUGAAGAUUAUGAGAUAUGAGGGCAA
Molecule: small nucleolar RNA, 139 nt
Organism: Papio anubis (olive baboon)
Lineage: Eukaryota; Metazoa; Chordata; Mammalia; Primates; Cercopithecidae
Gene: SNORD97
Product: small nucleolar RNA, C/D box 97
Source: Ensembl